UACAGAGGGUGCAAGCGUUGUUCGGAAUUACUGGGCGUAAAGCGUGCGUAGUCGGUAUUGAGAGUCGCGGGUGAAAUCCCAGGGCUUAACCCUGGAACUGCCUGCGAGACCUGAGUACUAGAGUGUGAGAGGGGAUAGUGGAAUGCCAAGUGUAGCGGUGAAAUGCGUAGAGAUUUGGCGGAACACCGGUGGCGAAGGCGGCUAUCUGGCUCACAACUGACGAUCAGGCACGAAAGCGUGGGGAGCAAACAGG
Molecule: ribosomal RNA, 253 nt
Filed under: uncultured bacterium
Lineage: Bacteria
Description: partial 16S ribosomal RNA
Rfam family: Bacterial small subunit ribosomal RNA
Source: RNAcentral